AGGACGUCAUAGAGGGUGAGAAUCCCGUGUGGCGAGGAGUGCGGUUCUUUGUAAAGUGCCUUCGAAGAGUCGAGUUGUUUGGGAAUGCAGCUCUAAGUGGGUGGUAAAUUCCAUCUAAAGCUAAAUAUUGGCGAGAGACCGAUAGCGAACAAGUACAGUGAUGGAAAGAUGAAAAGAACUUUGAAAAGAGAGUGAAAAAGUACGUGAAAUUGUUGAAAGGGAAGGGCAUUUGAUCAGACAUGGUGUUUUGUGCCCUCUGCUCCUUGUGGGUAGGGGAAUCUCGCAUUUCACUGGGCCAGCAUCAGUUUUGGUGGCAGGAUAAAUCCAUAGGAAUGUAGCUUGCCUCGGUAAGUAUUAUAGCCUGUGGGAAUACUGCCAGCUGGGACUGAGGACUGCGACG
Molecule: ribosomal RNA, 400 nt
Filed under: Saccharomyces cerevisiae (brewer's yeast)
Lineage: Eukaryota; Fungi; Ascomycota; Saccharomycetes; Saccharomycetales; Saccharomycetaceae
Description: LSU rRNA
Rfam family: Eukaryotic large subunit ribosomal RNA
Source: RNAcentral